AGAGUUUGAUCCUGGCUCAGGACGAACGCUGGCGGCGUGCUUAACACAUGCAAGUCGAACGAUGAACCACCUUCGGGUGGGGAUUAGUGGCGAACGGGUGAGUAACACGUGGGCAAUCUGCCCUUCACUCUGGGACAAGCCCUGGAAACGGGGUCUAAUACCGGAUACUGACCUGCCAAGGCAUCUUGGCGGGUCGAAAGCUCCGGCGGUGAAGGAUGAGCCCGCGGCCUAUCAGCUUGUUGGUGAGGUAAUGGCUCACCAAGGCGACGACGGGUAGCCGGCCUGAGAGGGCGACCGGCCACACUGGGACUGAGACACGGCCCAGACUCCUACGGGAGGCAGCAGUGGGGAAUAUUGCACAAUGGGCGAAAGCCUGAUGCAGCGACGCCGCGUGAGGGAUGACGGCCUUCGGGUUGUAAACCUCUUUCAGCAGGGAAGAAGCGAAAGUGACGGUACCUGCAGAAGAAGCGCCGGCUAACUACGUGCCAGCAGCCGCGGUAAUUC
RNAcentral lists this ribosomal RNA (504 nucleotides) under uncultured bacterium. RNAcentral's name for it is "bacterial SSU rRNA". It matches the Rfam family "Bacterial small subunit ribosomal RNA", at positions 8 to 526 of the family's 1533-position model. The record is from RNAcentral.